This 530-nucleotide ribosomal RNA is filed under the name uncultured bacterium. RNAcentral's name for it is "bacterial SSU rRNA". It matches the Rfam family "Bacterial small subunit ribosomal RNA", at positions 848 to 1377 of the family's 1533-position model. The record is from RNAcentral.
GCAGCUAACGCAUUAAGCAUUUCCGCCUGGGGAGUACGGUCGCAAGAUUAAAAUUCAAAGGAAUUGACGGGGGCCCGCACAAGCGGUGGAGCAUGUGGUUUAAUUCGAAGCAACGCGCAGAACCUUACCACGUUUUGACAUGUCUCGCUAUCCAGAGAGAUUUGGAGUUCCCUUCGGGGACGAGAACACAGGUGCUGCAUGGCUGUCGUCAGCUCGUGUUGUGAGAUGUUGGGUUAAGUCCCGCAACGAGCGCAACCCUCGCCUUUAGUUGCUACCAGGUUUGGCUGAGCACUCUAAAGGGACUGCCGGAGCUAAUCCGGAGGAAGGCGGGGAUGACGUCAAGUCCUCAUGGCCCUUACAGGGUGGGCUACACACGUGCUACAAUGGCGACUACAGAGGGCUGCAAUCCCGCGAGGGGGAGCUAAUCCCUAAAAGUCGUCUCAGUUCGGAUUGCUCUCUGCAACUCGAGAGCAUGAAGUCGGAAUCGCUAGUAAUCGCGGAUCAGCGUGCCGCGGUGAAUACGUUCCCGG